RNAcentral lists this transfer RNA (73 nucleotides) under Pteropus alecto (black flying fox). It matches the Rfam family "tRNA". Rfam says of the family: Transfer RNA (tRNA) molecules are approximately 80 nucleotides in length. Their secondary structure includes four short double-helical elements and three loops (D, anti-codon, and T loops). Further hydrogen bonds mediate the characteristic L-shaped molecular structure. tRNAs have two regions of fundamental functional importance: the anti-codon, which is responsible for specific mRNA codon recognition, and the 3' end, to which the tRNAs corresponding amino acid is attached (by aminoacyl-tRNA synthetases). tRNAs cope with the degeneracy of the genetic code in two manners: having more than one tRNA (with a specific anti-codon) for a particular amino acid; and 'wobble' base-pairing, i.e. permitting non-standard base-pairing at the 3rd anti-codon position. Lineage: Eukaryota; Metazoa; Chordata; Mammalia; Chiroptera; Pteropodidae. The record is from Rfam by way of RNAcentral.
GGUUCCACAGUGUAGCGGUUAGCCCAUUUGCUUUACACGCAGAAGGUCCUGGGUUCACACUCCAGUGGAACCA